UCACAGAGAGUAGGAAAGUUCCCCCGGCGCGGAGGGGGAGGCUGCUGCGGCGGCAGCGGCUGCAAAGAGCAGAAGCCGGAGCGGGAGGAGGAGAAGAAGGAAGUGGCUACGGAGCGCUCGGCCAAUGAGUGUCUGGAGCUGUGAUUAACCAGGCAGCAACACAUCAUUUCCUCCCGGCGCAGAUCCAGGGAGCCGGGAGGGAGAAGGAAGGCGGCGGGGCGGGGCCGCCCCGCGCCCCCUGCAGGCGCCCGGCCAGGGGCAAACCCGCCGAGCCCUGCCGAGCCUGACCUCGCCGCCCCCGGCGCGCCCCGCGCAGUCUCGCCGGCCUGGAGGAGGCUGCGAGCGCGCCGCCCGCGGGGCUUUUCGGAGGCGGGGAGGCGGCCGGGCAUGCCCGAGCUGGGCUCCCGUGGCCGGGGUGGGAGGAGGAGAGGCGGCACGGCGCGGCGCGGGUGAGUGCCCAGGUUCAUUUAUGCAGCAGACAUUUGUUGGGUGACUGCCUGCAGUACUGCAAAGGCUUGCAAAGGAAAUGGAAGAUGUGGGCCCUGCAGGUCAGGAGUUUACAAUCGAAUUAGGAACACAGAGGAUAUAUACAUGAAACAACUAGAAAAUAAUCUCCAAGUAUUACAGGAGCAAGAAUAUGGAGAAGACUGGGGACAUUUUUUUUUUUUCAAAAGGGGAAGGGCUUUGUUCCUAUGUGAUUGGUAGGGAGAGGAAAUUCCAGGUCAGAACAAACAAGAGUGCUUAGAUAUAGCCUUGCUCUUUAGAGAAAUAUAACAGAGACCUCAUUGGUACUUGGCCAGUUACAAACUGUAUGACCUUGGGCCCAUUUUUAACCUCUCUAAGAACAGGGAAUAGAGCCUAUCUUGUGAGGUUUGUUGUACUGUUCACAUGAGAUUACACACAUGUGGAAGCUCUUCAAGCUGCUGUGUUAAUGUUUCUCAGUCUUGUACAUUUACAGAGUCUUCAUUUUACUGCCCUCUUGUUGAUAACCUUCUCUAUAGUAUCCUCUAGUCUGGAAGCCCCAUGAGGGCAGGGACCAGGUUUGGUUGUGUUCACCAUGGAAAAUCAUGCCUAGCAGAGGGGCACAUGUGGGUGCUCAAUAAAGGUUUGCUGAAUAAGUGAAUAAAUGAACUAGUGAAUUCUGUUAUGGUUUUAUCUGUUCCUUCAGCAGUGGUUUCUUCUUAUUGUGUGGCUGGCUCAAUGCAAAAAAUCCUCUAACCCUAACCCUCCUGUGACUAACUUGUAUUACAGGAGUCUAUCUGGAAGGAUUCUCAGUAGUUCUUGUGGCAUUAUAACAUAAAUUGAUUGAUUGAUUGAGUCAUUGAAAGACACAAGCCUCAUCCACACAAGGAUACUGUCCUUUGGCUUGGACACCUUAAUCCAAAGUUUCUCAACCUUGGUACUGUUGACAUAUUUGGUUGAAUAGUUGGGAGGUGUUGUCUGGUGCACUGUAAGAUAUUUUACAUCAUCUUUGACCUCUAUCCAUCAGAUGCAAACAGGAUACCUUCCCUCCAUAGUUGUAACAACAAAAAAUGUCUCUAGACAUUGCCAGAUGUCUCCUGGGGGCAAAAUAGCUCCAUGCUAGGAUCCACUGCCUUACCCCAACAUCUAACCCAUUGAUUUAACUCUGGUGAAAAACACACCACUAAAGUAACUUGGAAGAAAUACAUCUUCUGUUAUUCUAAGAUUCUCAGAUCUCCUCCAUCAUAUGUUUCAAGGAGCAGGAUUCUUGUUAAUUAAUUGCCUGCUGCAUUGUGAAUUGGCAUCUCUUCUGUUUUCUGCAUAUCCUCCUCCUUUACGCCCAGAUCAACAUGUUCAUUUCUAAAAGUCAACAGCUUUCAAAAACUAUUAGGAAACAGGGUCUUGAGCAACCUAAAAGUCCCGUACAAUAUUUUCCUAUAAAAUUUGGAGAAUUUAUUUUAUAAAAUUUUGCAGAAAGCUUUGUUGUUAUGAUUAAGCUAUUAGACUUACAGGAAAUAACUGUGGCUUCUCUGCACACAGAUGUGAUACAGAAUAUAAAUUGUAAAUUUUUUAAUGAUUUUAUUUAAAAUGUUUAAGUAUGCAACUACAUUGAGUGAUUUUCUUUCAUUUUGAAGCCAUUUCUUUUUGGUUCUAGAGAGUUUUAUAAUGGCAUAAGAGAACACGGUUUAUUAAAACCUAUAAAGAAGAAAUCAGCUUAGUUAUACAUACCAACUUCCAGCAGCAGUUUGAUAUGGUGUAUGAGAGCUGUUGUUGAUGAGAAUCCUGGUUGAUUAAUGUACUGCUGUUCAAAUUCUACAGGUUUCUUGAAGAAAAAUAAAGAUUAAUGGUUGACGGAAAGAACAUUUUCUGAUAAGUCUGUUCCUCAGUAUGGGCAUGUAAAACCCAAAAAACCCUGCUCCUGGCAGGAAGUAGUGCCGUGUUUCUGAUGUGAGCAGACAUUUUUGUUCAGCAAAACAAUAUCAUCUGCCUCAUUAAAUAAAGUUAUUUGAAGCAUUGGUUUUA
Molecule: long non-coding RNA, 2484 nt
Organism: Phyllostomus discolor (pale spear-nosed bat)
Lineage: Eukaryota; Metazoa; Chordata; Mammalia; Chiroptera; Phyllostomidae
Exons: 2
Source: RefSeq, a predicted model, not a curated record